ACGGGCUGAGUAACGCGUGGGAACGUACCUUUUGGUUCGGAACAACACAGGGAAACUUGUGCUAAUACCGGAUAAGCCCUUACGGGGAAAGAUUUAUCGCCGAAAGAUCGGCCCGCGUCUGAUUAGCUAGUUGGUAGGGUAAUGGCCUACCAAGGCGACGAUCAGUAGCUGGUCUGAGAGGAUGAUCAGCCACAUUGGGACUGAGACACGGCCCAAACUCCUACGGGAGGCAGCAGUGGGGAAUAUUGGACAAUGGGGGCAACCCUGAUCCAGCCAUGCCGCGUGAGUGAUGAAGGCCCUAGGGUUGUAAAGCUCUUUUGUGCGGGAAGAUAAUGACGGUACCGCAAGAAUAAGCCCCGGCUAACUUCGUGCCAGCAGCCGCGGUAAUACGAAGGGGGCUAGCGUUGCUCGGAAUCACUGGGCGUAAAGGGUGCGUAGGCGGGUCUUUAAGUCAGGGGUGAAAUCCUGGAGCUCAACUCCAGAACUGCCUUUGAUACUGAAGAUCUUGAGUUCGGGAGAGGUGAGUGGAACUGCGAGUGUAGAGGUGAAAUUCGUAGA
This 558-nucleotide ribosomal RNA is filed under the name Bradyrhizobium sp. BvORR169. RNAcentral's name for it is "bacterial SSU rRNA". It matches the Rfam family "Bacterial small subunit ribosomal RNA", at positions 100 to 694 of the family's 1533-position model. The record is from RNAcentral. Lineage: Bacteria; Pseudomonadati; Pseudomonadota; Alphaproteobacteria; Hyphomicrobiales; Nitrobacteraceae.